GUGUUCGUAGAAAGGAGAGACGGUUGGCAUCUCCCCUGACAGGGACGGGAUUUGUCUUCGGACAUUCCUAUAGCACAUUGUGGUUAAGGCUACCCGCUUCGGCGGAUCUUGCCCAAAUUUUUUU
Setaria italica (foxtail millet) is the source of this 124-nucleotide small nuclear RNA. NCBI's taxonomy places the organism in Eukaryota, Viridiplantae, Streptophyta, Magnoliopsida, Poales, Poaceae. The record is from Rfam.